The sequence is an unclassified non-coding RNA, 252 nucleotides long. The stretch from base 1 to 46 matches the Rfam family "Eukaryotic small subunit ribosomal RNA", at positions 1786 to 1831 of the family's 1831-position model.
AAGUCGUAACAAGGUUUCCGUAGGUGAACCUGCGGAAGGAUCAUUAUUGAAUUAUAAGCAAAGGUUGUCGCUGGCCCCUCGGGGCAUGUGCACGCCUGAGCUCUUAAUCCACUUACACCUGUGAACUCAAUGUGGGACGUCUCUCGGGACGAUUCUCAUGUCUUUAUUAUACACCCUGCAUGUCUUUAGAAUGUGAUAUGUUGCUUUAACGCAAUUUAAAUACAACUUUCAACAACGGAUCUCUUGGCUCUC